GAUGAACGCUGGCGGCGUGCCUAAUACAUGCAAGUCGAGCGAACGGACGAGAAGCUUGCUUCUCUGAUGUUAGCGGCGGACGGGUGAGUAACACGUGGAUAACCUACCUAUAAGACUGGGAUAACUUCGGGAAACCGGAGCUAAUACCGGAUAAUAUUUUGAACCGCAUGGUUCAAAAGUAAAAGACGGUCUUGCUGUCACUUAUAGAUGGAUCCGCGCUGCAUUAGCUAGUUGGUAAGGUAACGGCUUACCAAGGCAACGAUGCAUAGCCGGCCUGAGAGGGUGAUCGGCCACACUGGAACUGAGACACGGUCCAGACUCCUACGGGAGGCAGCAGUAGGGAAUCUUCCGCAAUGGGCGAAAGCCUGACGGAGCAACGCCGCGUGAGUGAUGAAGGUCUUCGGAUCGUAAAACUCUGUUAUUAGGGAAGAACAUAUGUGUAAGUAACUGUGCACAUCUUGACGGUACCUAAUCAGAAAGCCACGGCUAACUACGUGCCAGCAGCCGCGGUAAUACGUAGGUGGCAAGCGUUAUCCGGAAUUAUUGGGCGUAAAGCGCGCGUAGGCGGUUUUUUAAGUCUGAUGUGAAAGCCCACGGCUCAACCGUGGAGGGUCAUUGGAAACUGGAAAACUUGAGUGCAGAAGAGGAAAGUGGAAUUCCAUGUGUAGCGGUGAAAUGCGCAGAGAUAUGGAGGAACACCAGUGGCGAAGGCGACUUUCUGGUCUGUAACUGACGCUGAUGUGCGAAAGCGUGGGGAUCAAACAGGAUUAGAUACCCUGGUAGUCCACGCCGUAAACGAUGAGUGCUAAGUGUUAGGGGGUUUCCGCCCCUUAGUGCUGCAGCUAACGCAUUAAGCACUCCGCCUGGGGAGUACGACCGCAAGGUUGAAACUCAAAGGAAUUGACGGGGACCCGCACAAGCGGUGGAGCAUGUGGUUUAAUUCGAAGCAACGCGAAGAACCUUACCAAAUCUUGACAUCCUUUGACAACUCUAGAGAUAGAGCCUUCCCCUUCGGGGGACAAAGUGACAGGUGGUGCAUGGUUGUCGUCAGCUCGUGUCGUGAGAUGUUGGGUUAAGUCCCGCAACGAGCGCAACCCUUAAGCUUAGUUGCCAUCAUUAAGUUGGGCACUCUAAGUUGACUGCCGGUGACAAACCGGAGGAAGGUGGGGAUGACGUCAAAUCAUCAUGCCCCUUAUGAUUUGGGCUACACACGUGCUACAAUGGACAAUACAAAGAGCAGCGAAACCGCGAGGUCAAGCAAAUCCCAUAAAGUUGUUCUCAGUUCGGAUUGUAGUCUGCAACUCGACUACAUGAAGCUGGAAUCGCUAGUAAUCGUAGAUCAGCAUGCUACGGUGAAUACGUUCCCGGGUCU
RNAcentral lists this ribosomal RNA (1372 nucleotides) under uncultured bacterium. RNAcentral describes it as "bacterial SSU rRNA". It matches the Rfam family "Bacterial small subunit ribosomal RNA", at positions 28 to 1381 of the family's 1533-position model. The record is from RNAcentral.